RNAcentral lists this transfer RNA (74 nucleotides) under Planctomycetaceae bacterium. RNAcentral's name for it is "tRNA-Val". It matches the Rfam family "tRNA". From Rfam's summary of the family: Transfer RNA (tRNA) molecules are approximately 80 nucleotides in length. The record is from RNAcentral. Lineage: Bacteria; Pseudomonadati; Planctomycetota; Planctomycetia; Planctomycetales; Planctomycetaceae.
GGGCGGCUAGCUCAGUUGGUUAGAGCGUUGCUUUCACACGGCAGAGGUCACAGGUUCGAAUCCCGUGCCGCCCA